UGUUCAUAAUAACUUUACGAAUCGCAUGGCCUUGGGCGCCGGCGAUGGUUCAUUCAAAUUUCUGCCCUAUCAACUUUCGAUGGUAGGAUAGUGGCCUACAUGGGUUCAACGGGUAACGGGGAAUUAGGGUUCUAUUCCGGAGAGGGAGCCUGAGAAACGGCUACCACAUCCAAGGAAGGCAGCAGGCGCGCAAAUUACCCAAUCCCGACACGGGGAGGUAGUGACAAUAAAUACUGAUACAGGGCUCUUUUGAGUCUUGUAAUUGGAAUGAGUACAAUUUAAAUCCCUUAACGAGGAACAAUUGGAGGGCAAGUCCGGAGCCAGCAGCCGCGGUAAUUCCAGCUCCAAUAGCGUAUAUUAAAGUUGUUGCAGUUAAAAAGCUCGUAGUUGAACCUUGGGCCUGGCUGGCCGGUCCGCCUCACCGCGUGCACUGGUCCGGCCGGGCCUUUCCUCCUGGGGAGCCGCAUGCCCUUCACUGGGUGUGUCGGGGAACCAGGACUUUUACUUUGAAAAAAUUAGAGUGUUCAAAGCAGGCCUAUGCUCGAAUACAUUAGCAUGGAAUAAUAGAAUAGGACGUGUGGUCUAUAAGUA
This 591-nucleotide ribosomal RNA is filed under the name uncultured fungus. RNAcentral describes it as "SSU rRNA". It matches the Rfam family "Eukaryotic small subunit ribosomal RNA", at positions 248 to 844 of the family's 1831-position model. Lineage: Eukaryota; Fungi. The record is from RNAcentral.